Molecule: long non-coding RNA, 216 nt
Filed under: Lathyrus oleraceus (garden pea)
Lineage: Eukaryota; Viridiplantae; Streptophyta; Magnoliopsida; Fabales; Fabaceae
Description: Pisum sativum (pea) long non-coding RNA (PSAT_LNC022807)
Source: RNAcentral
AAACUUUCUUGAGCAUGAGGUCACCUUCUCGGAACACACGAGGCUUGACCUUCUUAUCAAACGCUUUCUUCAUUCUCUGCUGAUAUAACUGACCAUGGCACAUGGCAGUUAAUCUCUUCUCUUCAAUUUAAUUCAGUUAGUCAUAACGACUCUGAAUCCAUUCAGCAUCAGUCAACUAGGGGUUUGAGGGUAUGCUUUUUCUUUUAUUUGUUUUUU